CAUGAUUCCAUGAUUCUAUGAUUCUAUGAUGCUCUGUGUCCCUACGGAGUCCCCAUGUGUCCUCAUGGAGUCCCUAUGUGUCCCUAUGGAGUCCCCAUGUGUCCCUAAGGUGUCCCCAUGUGUCCCUACGGAGUCCCCUUGUGUCCCUAAGGUGUCCCCAUGUGUCCUUAUGGAGUCCCUAUGUGUCCCUACGGAGUCCCCAUGUGUCCUUAUGGAGUCCCCAUGUGUCCCUAUGGCGUCCCCACGUGUCCCUAUGGAGUCCCCAUGUGUCCCUAAGGUGUCCCCAUGUGUCCCUAUGGCGUCCCCAUGUGUCCCUAUGGAGUCCCCACGUGUCCCUAUGGCGUCCCCAUGUGUCCCUACGGAUCCCCACGUGUCCCUAUGGAUCCCCACGUGUCCCUAUGGAGUCCCCACGUGUCCCUACGGAGUCCCCAUGUGUCCUUAUGGAGUCCCCAUGUGUCCCUAUGGAGUCCCCACGUGUCCCUAUGGCGUCCCCAUGUGUCCCUAUGGAGUCCCCAUGUGUCCC
Tympanuchus pallidicinctus (lesser prairie-chicken) is the source of this 523-nucleotide long non-coding RNA. RefSeq lists it as uncharacterized. The transcript is spliced from 3 exons. The record is from RefSeq and is a predicted model, not a curated record. NCBI's taxonomy places the organism in Eukaryota, Metazoa, Chordata, Aves, Galliformes, Phasianidae.